UGUCCCCUCUCCAUGCUCCGACGCUUUUUGCAGGAAGGCCAGGUUUCCUGUGUGAUGGAGGAGAGGGGGAUGAUGGAGAGGGGAAGAAGGAUGUGACGGCUGGGCUUGUGCACGUAGAGAUUGUACAGAUUGACUUUAUGUUUUAGCUGUGUGUGGAUGUUGUUGUGUUAUGUUGUUUUCUGCACAGGUGCAGCUUGAUGAGAUCCAUGAAGACAAGAUGCAGCAGUGGAGGAGGUGGAGGAAAGACAAUGGGACUAAGAACCAGAGCAGCCUUCUUCUACAUGGACAAACAUAUUGCAGGAGAAGAGGAGGAUGGGGGAGAGAAUAGUGGAGGGAGUGGAGUCUUCUACAUACACAACCCUCUACACAGCAGUGUCUUUUUUCCUGGAUUACUGACCCACUGAAUGUGGCCCUGGCUCAAAUCACAAGACUUACUUCACUUCAGAGAAUGAGUUUGCUGUUUCCUGUCUUUGGAUGGACCCUCAUCUUAUUGGCUACCGAAAAGGGGUGUGGUCGUUGUGGAGCAAAUUAAUGAGAGAGAACAGUGGCAUGAAGACUUUCAGUGAUGUCUCUCCUCAGGUGAGAGGGUCCCCCAGGCCAGUCUUUUCGCCACCCAUUGCAACCUUGCCAUCCCCCAGCCCUGCAUCAUCAGAAAGGGACGAACCAGGACAUGGGAGGAAGGUGUCUUUCUUUGAUGAUGUCACUGUCAAUGUGUUGGAUCAGGGAUUUGGGCCUGGUCUCCGGGAAGCAGUAUAUCCUCCUCGUCGGACUCAUUUAAGAAAAAGUCUUUGUCCAGUUCGAGCAUCCCCCCACCAGACCUCGACACCACCAUACCAGAGGUGGAGCGGUCCAUUCACCCAUGCCUGCUCACAGUUGAGACCUUCCAGUCUCUUCCUCACCCACGUCUCUGACGCUGACCUGGAGCAGUGAGGCAAGUGGUUGGAUAUACAAUCUUGUUUUUCUGUCACCAAUAGAGCCUUGACCUCCUGGGAAAAAAUACUUGUCCUCUCUCUCUCUCUCCCUCACUCUCUCUCUGUCACAUUCUGACCUUUUUUUCCUUUGUUUUGUAUUUAUU
This is a long non-coding RNA of Oncorhynchus tshawytscha (Chinook salmon), 1075 nucleotides long. RefSeq lists it as uncharacterized. The transcript is spliced from 7 exons. The record is from RefSeq and is a predicted model, not a curated record. NCBI's taxonomy places the organism in Eukaryota, Metazoa, Chordata, Actinopteri, Salmoniformes, Salmonidae.